GGCGUGCUAACACAUGCAAGUCGAGCGGUAACAGGUCUAGUUUACUAGAUGCUGACGAGCGGCGGACGGCUGAGUAACGCGUGGGAACGUGCCCCAAAGUGAGGGAUAAGCAUCGGAAACGGUGUCUAAUACCGCAUAUGGUCUUCGGAUUAAAGGAUUUAUCCGCUUUGGGAGCGGCCCCCGUUAGAUUAGGUAGUUGGUAGGGUAAUGGCCUACCAAGCCUACGAUCUAUAACUGGUCUGAGAGGAUGAUCAGUCAGACUGGAACUGAGACACGGUCCAGACUCCUACGGGAGGCAGCAGUGAGGAAUCUUCCACAAUGGGCGAAAGCCUGAUGGAGCAACGCCGCGUGAAGGAUGAAGGCCCUAGGGUCGUAAACUUCUUUUAUAAGUGAAGAAUAUGACGGUAACUUAUGAAUAAGCACCGGCUAACUACGU
This 436-nucleotide ribosomal RNA is filed under the name uncultured eubacterium WJGRT-1. Its description in RNAcentral is "bacterial SSU rRNA". It matches the Rfam family "Bacterial small subunit ribosomal RNA", at positions 41 to 506 of the family's 1533-position model. The record is from RNAcentral.